Long non-coding RNA from Chelonia mydas (Green sea turtle), 395 nucleotides. RefSeq lists it as uncharacterized. The transcript has 2 exons. The record is from RefSeq and is a predicted model, not a curated record. Lineage: Eukaryota; Metazoa; Chordata; Testudines; Cheloniidae.
GGCAUUUUCCCCCCACCAACGAACUCUGGGUGGGUUUUUUAGCUCCUUCCUCUGAAGCCCCAGUGAUGGCCGUGGCUGGAGAUGGGACACUGGACAGGGUGGGCAGGGCUCUAAGGGGGCACCCAGCAUUGUCUCUCUCAGGAAUGAACUCAGGGAAGCCCAAUGGCCUGUGUUGUAGAGGAGGCCAGACUAACUGAUCCCAAUCGUCCCUCCUGGCCUCUGAAUCUAUGAAUCUCAGAAUCCACUCCGCUGCCAGUGGGCUCAGCAGAGAAGACAGAGAAUGAACAGGUGCUGGAAAGUAACUCUGCCUUACCAGAUCUGAAUGCUCAAAAACCAGGAGUCAGGCCUCCAAAAAACCACCAGAUUCUAAACGUGAUAAUAAAUGUUGAGUUGUU